AUUGAACGCUGGCGGCAUGCUUUACACAUGCAAGUCGAACGGUAACAGGUUAAGCUGACGAGUGGCGAACGGGUGAGUAAUGCAUCGGAACGUGCCCGGUCGUGGGGGAUAACGCAGCGAAAGCUGCGCUAAUACCGCAUACGAUCGGAGGAUGAAAGCGGGGGACCGUAAGGCCUCGCGCGAUCGGAGCGGCCGAUGUCAGAUUAGGUAGUUGGUGGGGUAAAGGCUCACCAAGCCGACGAUCUGUAGCUGGUCUGAGAGGACGAUCAGCCACACUGGGACUGAGACACGGCCCAGACUCCUACGGGAGGCAGCAGAGGGGAAUUUUGGACAAUGGGCGCAAGCCUGAUCCAGCAAUGCCGCGUGCAGGAAGAAGGCCUUCGGGUUGUAAACUGCUUUUGUACGGAGCGAAAAGGCUCUCUCUAAUACAGGGGGCUCAUGACGGUACCGUAAGAAUAAGCACCGGCUAACUACGUGCCAGCCGCCGCCGUAA
RNAcentral lists this ribosomal RNA (493 nucleotides) under uncultured bacterium. RNAcentral describes it as "partial 16S ribosomal RNA". It matches the Rfam family "Bacterial small subunit ribosomal RNA", at positions 29 to 523 of the family's 1533-position model. The record is from RNAcentral.